GGGCCUUACUCAGGUCUGGGGAACCACUGGAACGGUGGCUAAUACCGGAUGUGCCGGAAGGUGAAAGGCUUGCUGCCUGAAGAUGAGCUCGCGUCCGAUUAGCUAGUAGGUGGGGUAAGAGCCUACCUAGGCGACGAUCGGUAGCUGGUCUGAGAGGAUGACCAGCCACACUGGGACUGAGACACGGCCCAGACUCCUACGGGAGGCAGCAGUGGGGAAUUUUCCGCAAUGGGCGAAAGCCUGACGGAGCAAUACCGCGUGAGGGAGGAAGGCUCUUGGGUUGUAAACCUCUUUUCUCAGGGAAGAACACAAUGACGGUACCUGAGGAAUCAGCAUCGGCUAACUCCGUGCCAGCAGCCGCGGUAAUACGGAGGAUGCAAGCGUUAUCCGGAAUGAUUGGGCGUAAAGCGUCCGCAGGUGGCUGUGUAAGUCUGCUGUCAAAGAGCAAAGCUCAACUUUGUAAAGGCAGUGGAAACUACACGGCUAGAGUGCGUUCGGGGCAGAGGGAAUUCCUGGUGUAGCGGUGAAAUGCGUAGAGAUCAGGAAGAACACCGGUGGCGAAGGCGCUCUGCUAGGCCGCAACUGACACUGAGGGACGAAAGCUAGGGGAGCGAAUGGGAUUAGAUACUCCCAGUAGUC
This 639-nucleotide ribosomal RNA is filed under the name Nostoc punctiforme MZUC5. RNAcentral's name for it is "bacterial SSU rRNA". It matches the Rfam family "Bacterial small subunit ribosomal RNA", at positions 119 to 795 of the family's 1533-position model. Lineage: Bacteria; Bacillati; Cyanobacteriota; Cyanophyceae; Nostocales; Nostocaceae. The record is from RNAcentral.